CAGCAGCCGCGGUAAUACGUAGGUCCCGAGCGUUGUCCGGAUUUAUUGGGCUUAAAGGGUGCGCAGGCGGGGGGGUCAGUCCGCGGUGAAAGACGAUCGCUCAACGAUUGCAGUGCCGUGGAUACUGCCCUUCUUGAAUCUGGUUGAGGCCGGUGGAAUUGACCGUGUAGCGGUGAAAUGCAUAGAUACGGUCAAGAACUCCAAUUGCGAAGGCAGCCGGCUGGGCCAGCAUUGACGCUCAGGCACGAGAGUGCGGGGAUCAAACAGGAUUAGAUACCCGAGUAGUCCCUGUCUCUUAUAC
Molecule: ribosomal RNA, 301 nt
Filed under: uncultured bacterium
Lineage: Bacteria
Description: partial 16S ribosomal RNA
Rfam family: Bacterial small subunit ribosomal RNA
Source: RNAcentral